RNAcentral lists this ribosomal RNA (800 nucleotides) under Escherichia coli. RNAcentral's name for it is "partial 23S ribosomal RNA". It matches the Rfam family "Bacterial large subunit ribosomal RNA", at positions 395 to 1194 of the family's 2925-position model. The record is from RNAcentral. Lineage: Bacteria; Pseudomonadati; Pseudomonadota; Gammaproteobacteria; Enterobacterales; Enterobacteriaceae.
UGCUGUGAGCUCGAUGAGUAGGGCGGGACACGUGGUAUCCUGUCUGAAUAUGGGGGGACCAUCCUCCAAGGCUAAAUACUCCUGACUGACCGAUAGUGAACCAGUACCGUGAGGGAAAGGCGAAAAGAACCCCGGCGAGGGGAGUGAAAAAGAACCUGAAACCGUGUACGUACAAGCAGUGGGAGCACAGAGCAAUCUGUGUGACUGCGUACCUUUUGUAUAAUGGGUCAGCGACUUAUAUUCUGUAGCAAGGUUAACCGAAUAGGGGAGCCGAAGGGAAACCGAGUCUUAACUGGGCGUUAAGUUGCAGGGUAUAGACCCGAAACCCGGUGAUCUAGCCAUGGGCAGGUUGAAGGUUGGGUAACACUAACUGGAGGACCGAACCGACUAAUGUUGAAAAAUUAGCGGAUGACUUGUGGCUGGGGGUGAAAGGCCAAUCAAACCGGGAGAUAGCUGGUUCUCCCCGAAAGCUAUUUAGGUAGCGCCUCGUGAAUUCAUCUCCGGGGGUAGAGCACUGUUUCGGCAAGGGGGUCAUCCCGACUUACCAACCCGAUGCAAACUGCGAAUACCGGAGAAUGUUAUCACGGGAGACACACGGCGGGUGCUAACGUCCGUCGUGAAGAGGGAAACAACCCAGACCGCCAGCUAAGGUCCCAAAGUCAUGGUUAAGUGGGAAACGAUGUGGGAAGGCCCAGACAGCCAGGAUGUUGGCUUAGAAGCAGCCAUCAUUUAAAGAAAGCGUAAUAGCUCACUGGUCGAGUCGGCCUGCGCGGAAGAUGUAACGGGGCUAAACCAUGCAC